Molecule: ribosomal RNA, 308 nt
Filed under: uncultured bacterium
Lineage: Bacteria
Description: bacterial SSU rRNA
Rfam family: Bacterial small subunit ribosomal RNA
Source: RNAcentral
AUUGAACGCUGGCGGCAGGCUUAACACAUGCAAGUCGAGCGGUAAUAGAACUAGCUUGCUAGUUGCUGACGAGCGGCGGACGGGUGAGUAACGCGUAGGAAUCUACCUAGUAGUGGGGGAUAGCCCAGAGAAAUUUGGAUUAAUACCGCAUACGCCCUACGGGGGAAAGGAGGGGAUCUUCGGACCUUUCGCUAUUAGAUGAGCCUGCGUCGGAUUAGCUAGUUGGUGGGGUAAAGGCUCACCAAGGCGACGAUCCGUAGCUGGUCUGAGAGGAUGAUCAGCCACACUGGGACUGAGACACGGCCCAG